RNAcentral lists this ribosomal RNA (488 nucleotides) under Weissella viridescens. RNAcentral describes it as "bacterial SSU rRNA". It matches the Rfam family "Bacterial small subunit ribosomal RNA", at positions 18 to 467 of the family's 1533-position model. The record is from RNAcentral. Lineage: Bacteria; Bacillati; Bacillota; Bacilli; Lactobacillales; Lactobacillaceae.
CCUGGCUCAGGAUGAACGCUGGCGGCGUGCCUAAUACAUGCAAGUCGAACGCUUUGUGGUCCAACUGAUUUGAAGAGCUUGCUCAGAUAUGACGAUGGACAUUGCAAAGAGUGGCGAACGGGUGAGUAACACGUGGGAAACCUACCUCUUAGCAGGGGAUAACACUUGGAAACAAGUGCUAAUACCGUAUAACACUAAUAACCGCAUGGUUAUUAGUUAAAAGAUGGUCUUGCUAUCACUAAGAGAUGGUCCCGCGGUGUAUUAGCUAGUUGGUAAGGUAAUGGCUUACCAAGGCAAUGAUACAUAGCCGAGUUGAGAGACUGAUCGGCCACAAUGGGACUGAGACACGGCCCAUACUCCUACGGGAGGCAGCAGUAGGGAAUCUUCCACAAUGGACGAAAGUCUGAUGGAGCAACGCCGCGUGUGUGAUGAAGGGUUUCGGCUCGUAAAACACUGUUGUAAGAGAAGAAUGACAUUGAGAGUAACUG